GACGAACGCUGGCGGCGUGCUUAACACAUGCAAGUCGAACGGAAAGGCCCUGCUUUUGUGGGGUGCUCGAGUGGCGAACGGGUGAGUAACACGUGAGUAACCUGCCCUUGACUUUGGGAUAACUUCAGGAAACUGGGGCUAAUACCUGAUUGGAGCUCCUGCUGCAUGGUGGGGGUUGGAAAGUUUCGGCGGUUGGGGAUGGACUCGCGGCUUAUCAGCUUGUUGGUGGGGUAGUGGCUUACCAAGGCUUUGACGGGUAGCCGGCCUGAGAGGGUGACCGGCCACAUUGGGACUGAGAGACGGCCCAGACUCCUACGGGAGGCAGCAGUGGGGAAUAUUGCACAAUGGGCGGAAGCCUGAUGCAGCAACGCCGCGUGCGGGAUGACGGCCUUCGGGUUGUAAACCGCUUUCGCCUGUGACGAAGCGUGAGUGACGGUAAUGGGUAAAGAAGCACCGGCUAACUACGUG
Molecule: ribosomal RNA, 468 nt
Filed under: uncultured bacterium
Lineage: Bacteria
Description: partial 16S ribosomal RNA
Rfam family: Bacterial small subunit ribosomal RNA
Source: RNAcentral